CCUACGGGGUGCAGCAGUGGGGAAUAUUGGACAAUGGGCGAAAGCCUGAUCCAGCCAUGCCGCGUGUGUGAAGAAGGCCUUCGGGUUGUAAAGCACUUUCAGUGGGGAAGAAAGCCUUGGGGCUAAUACCCUCGAGGAAGGACAUCACCCACAGAAGAAGCACCGGCUAACUCCGUGCCAGCAGCCGCGGUAAUACGGAGGGUGCGAGCGUUAAUCGGAAUUACUGGGCGUAAAGCGCGCGUAGGCGGUCUGAUAAGCCGGUUGUGAAAGCCCCGGGCUCAACCUGGGAACGGCAUCCGGAACUGUCAGGCUAGAGUGCAGGAGAGGAAGGUAGAAUUCCCGGUGUAGCGGUGAAAUGCGUAGAGAUCGGGAGGAAUACCAGUGGCGAAGGCAGCCUUCUGGACUGACACUGACGCUGAGGUGCGAAAGCGUGGGUAGCAAACAGGAUUAGAUACCCCUGUAGUC
Molecule: ribosomal RNA, 465 nt
Filed under: Vreelandella stevensii
Lineage: Bacteria; Pseudomonadati; Pseudomonadota; Gammaproteobacteria; Oceanospirillales; Halomonadaceae
Description: partial 16S ribosomal RNA
Rfam family: Bacterial small subunit ribosomal RNA
Source: RNAcentral